CCUACGGGCGGCAGCAGUGAGGAAUAUUGGUCAAUGGACGAGAGUCUGAACCAGCCAAGUAGCGUGAAGGAUGACUGCCCUAUGGGUUGUAAACUUCUUUUAUAUGGGAAUAAAACGUUCCACGUGUGGGAUUUUGUAUGUACCAUAUGAAUAAGGAUCGGCUAACUCCGUGCCAGCAGCCGCGGUAAUACGGAGGAUCCGAGCGUUAUCCGGAUUUAUUGGGUUUAAAGGGAGCGUAGGUGGAUUGUUAAGUCAGUUGUGAAAGUUUGCGGCUCAACCGUAAAAUUGCAGUUGAAACUGGCAGUCUUGAGUACAGUAGAGGUGGGCGGAAUUCGUGGUGUAGCGGUGAAAUGCUUAGAUAUCACGAAGAACUCCGAUUGCGAAGGCAGUUCACUGGACUGCAACUGACACUGAGGCUCGAAAGUGUGGGUAUCAAACAGGAUUAGAGACCCCGGUAGUC
RNAcentral lists this ribosomal RNA (460 nucleotides) under uncultured bacterium. RNAcentral's name for it is "partial 16S ribosomal RNA". It matches the Rfam family "Bacterial small subunit ribosomal RNA", at positions 338 to 795 of the family's 1533-position model. The record is from RNAcentral.